AGUGAACGCUGGCGGUAGGCCUAACACAUGCAAGUCGAACGGCAGCACAGUAAGAGCUUGCUCUUACGGGUGGCGAGUGGCGGACGGGUGAGGAAUACAUCGGAAUCUACUUUUUCGUGGGGGAUAACGUAGGGAAACUUACGCUAAUACCGCAUACGACCUACGGGUGAAAGCAGGGGAUCUUCGGACCUUGCGCGAUUGAAUGAGCCGAUGUCGUAUUAGCUAGUUGGCGGGGUAAAGGCCCACCAAGGCGACGAUCCGUAGCUGGUCUGAGAGGAUGAUCAGCCACACUGGAACUGAGGCACGGUCCAGACUCCUACGGGAGGCAGCAGUGGGGAAUAUUGGACAAUGGGCGCAAGCCUGAUCCAGCCAUACCGCGUGGGUGAAGAAGGCCUUCGGGUUGUAAAGCCCUUUUGUUGGGAAAGAAAAGCAGCAGGUUAAUACCCCGCUGUUCUGACGGUACCCAAAGAAUAAGCACCGGCUAACUUCGUG
This 492-nucleotide ribosomal RNA is filed under the name uncultured bacterium. RNAcentral describes it as "partial 16S ribosomal RNA". It matches the Rfam family "Bacterial small subunit ribosomal RNA", at positions 29 to 507 of the family's 1533-position model. The record is from RNAcentral.